This 567-nucleotide long non-coding RNA is filed under the name Chinchilla lanigera (long-tailed chinchilla). RNAcentral's name for it is "lncRNA (ENSCLAG00000024967.1)". Lineage: Eukaryota; Metazoa; Chordata; Mammalia; Rodentia; Chinchillidae. The record is from RNAcentral.
AAGAUGCUAACUGCUGGGGGCAGCCACGUGCCCAGCGGAAAGACACUCAGUGUUCCAGGUACUCACCGGCCGGGGACCACUCGGGGCUACCAGGGAAUCUGCUGUUUGUCUUCCUGAUUAAAAAAAAUAACAGGCUCAAUGAGCUCAUGAUUUUUAUCUGUGGUCUUCCUCUGCUUCCUGCCUGGAACGAGGAUGAAUGCCUGAAGGCACCACAGCUGUCCUUUGAUCCUGAGAAGGAGGGCAGAGGGAAGGUGGCGGAAGUUCUCGAUGACUCACGGGCUCGCAGCCCCAUCCCCCUGCCGCCGCCGCCGCCUCUCACCCGUUGGUUGGGUUUCUGCUAUUUGCAGCCAGAUGCCCUCCUAAAAGACCGAGUGGCUCCAUCUGCUGAGAGUUGGCUGAAACUGAACAGAAGUCACCCCAGACAUGGGCACCGUGCCCUGCGGAUCAGCACACGCCUGACGAGCACCCACUGACUCUCCUCGUUUAGGCUCGACACCUGGUUCCUGCAGGCGCUGGGGUUUGCCGCCCGCACUGCAUGGCAGGGUCCCCUCGUAGACGAGCAGUUCC